Plectropomus leopardus (leopard coralgrouper) is the source of this 867-nucleotide non-coding RNA. Lineage: Eukaryota; Metazoa; Chordata; Actinopteri; Perciformes; Serranidae. The record is from the annotation of a RefSeq genome assembly.
UGGAGCCGUCUUUCCUCCAGAUCUCCAGCAUCCCUCAGAUCCCCAAGGUGGAGAGGCUGCUGGUCCUCUGCUGUCGGGUGGAGAACUUUUACCCCCAGGACAUUGACCUGGAGUGGUCCAGGAACGAUGGGGAGCAAGUCGGCACUGUCACACUCUUUGGACCUUUCUCUGACCACAAUCGCCUAUACAGCAUGUGGAGUAAGAUCCAGCUGGUCAUGGCCAGAGAGGACGAGAGGGCCGUCUACACCUGCAGAGUCUACCACUCCAGCUUCCCUGCUCCAGGUUACAGAGAUGUGCUGUACCACAUCAACACUCAAGGAACUCCUCCGAAUGUGAUGUUCAUCGACUGUGAACCACUGUGUCCUGUGAUGAAUGAAGAGUGCACGCUGCACCUGUGUGUCAAAGACUUCUGUCCCGAGGACGUGUCAGUGACUUGGACUAAAGACGGAGAGACAGUUCUCUCCGAUGUCUUUAACACUCCCCCGAGCCUGAACAUCAACGGCCUCUACUCCAUGUUCAGUUUUCUCAAGCUCACACCCGACAAGGACAACCAGGGCUCCCAGUUCAGGUGCCGGGUGGCCCACAGCGCCCUGAGGGAGCCUGAGGAGAGACUCUUCACUCUGCCUGCUGCAAACAACAACCGACUGCUAAUCGACGGCUGCUGAUCGACGGCUGCUGAUCCACGGCUGCUGAUGUCCCCACUGUGGAAACUCUGCUAUUUCAAGCUGCUGUAGUUUGAUUUGUGCAAGUUUGGAUGCAGAUCACGAAAAUGUUACGGCUCAAAACUGAAGUGGAGGUGAAACUCAUCAGAGUUCUCUUCAGAGCCAGACUCCAUUGUUAUUUUUUUUUUUUUUUAGCAAAAGUACA